CUACGGUGAAUACGUUCCCGGACCUUGUACACACGCCCGUCAAGCCAUGGAAGCUGGGUGUACCUAAAGUCGAUAACCGUAAGGAGUCGCCUAGGGUAAAACUAGUAACUGGGGCU
RNAcentral lists this ribosomal RNA (116 nucleotides) under uncultured bacterium. RNAcentral's name for it is "partial 16S ribosomal RNA". It matches the Rfam family "Bacterial small subunit ribosomal RNA", at positions 1357 to 1482 of the family's 1533-position model. The record is from RNAcentral.